Saccostrea cuccullata (small rock oyster) is the source of this 618-nucleotide long non-coding RNA. RefSeq lists it as uncharacterized. Lineage: Eukaryota; Metazoa; Mollusca; Bivalvia; Ostreida; Ostreidae. The record is from RefSeq and is a predicted model, not a curated record. The transcript is spliced from 5 exons.
CGCUCAAAUUAUCCGGAUGAUAAUAGUUACACCGAGCAUGGUUUCGUAGUUAAAUUCAGACUGUAGAACAUCCGGUUUGAAUACAUGUGUUUUCUGACUUUUCGGAUAGCCAACUCUUGUUUUUUGGAACUUACGACUUAUGGCAAGAGAGAAGAAAACUGCGUGACUUUAAAAGAAAACCAGUGAGAUAAAAUCAUAGAAAAUGUAUGAUGAUUCAGGAUGUGGUCAUUUGUGACAUUAAAACAGGAAUUGUCAUCACCAAUAGACGAAUUUCACAUUCCUAAGAGUUUUCUCCAAUUGGCGGCGUAUCGCUCAUUUUUCCCACUUUGUCCUUUGUCCUGUUCUGUGGAUGCCCUAAGACAGUGUCUACCCAUCACUCCAUCUGAAAUCACUUGUUCUGUGCAUAUUUCUCUCUCAGACUUAAACUACAGAGAGCCUGUGGAUAGAGGAUGAAGAGUGACCUUGGACUAAUUUUCUAGGUCAAAGAUCAUAGGUGAUGUGAAGAAAACCAGGAAACUGAUGUUGAAAGAAGUACUUAAUGACCCUUAUGAAUGGACUUAAAUGUGAAAGACUGUUCCAUUGUUUAUCUAAGAUAUAUGAAUUUGUUUAAUAUUUUGA